RNAcentral lists this transfer RNA (70 nucleotides) under Marmota monax (woodchuck). RNAcentral describes it as "tRNA.Ala". Lineage: Eukaryota; Metazoa; Chordata; Mammalia; Rodentia; Sciuridae. The record is from RNAcentral.
GGGUUGCAGCUCAGUGGUAGAGUGCUUGUCUAGCAUGUGUGAGGCACUGGGUUCAAUUCUCAGCAAUGCA